This 248-nucleotide ribosomal RNA is filed under the name Pseudomonas aeruginosa. RNAcentral describes it as "partial 16S ribosomal RNA". It matches the Rfam family "Bacterial small subunit ribosomal RNA", at positions 1 to 245 of the family's 1533-position model. Lineage: Bacteria; Pseudomonadati; Pseudomonadota; Gammaproteobacteria; Pseudomonadales; Pseudomonadaceae. The record is from RNAcentral. RNAcentral also lists the same sequence under 3 other names.
AAAUUGAAGAGUUUGAUCAUGGCUCAGAUUGAACGCUGGCGGCAGGCCUAACACAUGCAAGUCGAACGGUAACAGGAAGCAGCUUGCUGCUUUGCUGACGAGUGGCGGACGGGUGAGUAAUGUCUGGGAAACUGCCUGAUGGAGGGGGAUAACUACUGGAAACGGUAGCUAAUACCGCAUAACGUCGCAAGACCAAAGAGGGGGACCUUCGGGCCUCUUGCCAUCGGAUGUGCCCAGAUGGGAUUAGC